GCGCUUGUAGCUCAGUUGGAUAGAGCAACAGCCUUCUAAGCUGUGGGUCAAGCGUUCGAGUCGCUUCAAGCGUGCCA
RNAcentral lists this transfer RNA (77 nucleotides) under Bacilli bacterium. RNAcentral's name for it is "tRNA-Arg". It matches the Rfam family "tRNA". From Rfam's summary of the family: Transfer RNA (tRNA) molecules are approximately 80 nucleotides in length. Their secondary structure includes four short double-helical elements and three loops (D, anti-codon, and T loops). The record is from RNAcentral. RNAcentral also lists the same sequence under 1 other name. Lineage: Bacteria; Bacillati; Bacillota; Bacilli.